UACGCUCAGUAACACGUGGAUAACCUGCCCUUGGUCCGGCAUAACCCGGAAACUGGGGAUAAUUCCGGAAAACGCACAUAUGCUGGAAUGCUUUAUGCGUAAAAAUGAUUCGUCUGCCCAAAGGAUGGUUCUGCGGCCUAUUCAGGUAGUAGUGGGUGUAAAUGUACCUACUAGCCCAAACAACGGGUACGGGUUGUGGAGAAGCAAGAGCCCGGAGAUGGAUUCUGAGACAUGAAUCCAGGCCCUACGGGGCGCAGCAGGCGCGAAAACUUUACAAUGCGGGAAACCGUGAUAAGGGGACACCGAGUGCCAGCGUCAUACGCUGGCUGUCCAGGUGUGUAAAAUACACCUGUUAGCAAGGGCCGGGCAAGACCGGUGCCAGCCGCCGCGGUAACACCGGCGGCCCGAGUGGUGAUCGUGAUUAUUGGGUCUAAAGGGUCCGUAGCCGGUUUGGUCAGUCCUCCGGGAAAUCUGAUAGCUCAACUAUUAGGCUUUCGGGGGAUACUGCCAGACUUGGAACCGGGAGAGGUAAGAGGUACUACAGGGGUAGGAGUGAAAUCUUGUAAUCCCUGUGGGACCACCUGUGGCGAAGGCGUCUUACCAGAACGGGUUCGACGGUGAGGGACGAAAGCUGGGGGCACGAACCGGAUUAGAUACCCGGGUAGUCCCAGCCGUAAACGAUGCUCGCUAGGUGUCAGGCAUGGCGCGACCGUGUCUGGUGCCGCAGGGAAGCCGUGAAGCGAGCCACCUGGGAAGUACGGCCGCAAGGCUGAAACUUAAAGGAAUUGGCGGGGGAGCAC
This 800-nucleotide ribosomal RNA is filed under the name uncultured bacterium. Its description in RNAcentral is "bacterial SSU rRNA". It matches the Rfam family "Archaeal small subunit ribosomal RNA", at positions 83 to 879 of the family's 1478-position model. The record is from RNAcentral.